UGGUAUUUCAUUCCUACACAGGAAUGACUGCCCAGAGCAAUGGAUGUGAAUCUCAGUCAGUGUGGAUUUUUUAUUUAUUUAUUUUACUUUUACUUCAUUUUCAGACUGCUGCCACCCAGAGAAGAGUGAAUGUGGGCAGACUUUCACCUGCCAUCACAGGACCUUAUUUCUUUUCUUAAACCCUAUCAAGAAUGCUCUUGAGAAGAGAAUUGUUGAGGAACUGGUUGCAUAGUCCUUGAGAAUACUGAUCACUGUUAAUUAGGUUAAACUCUUUGUGAUAGAUCAUAUCAGGUACCCUCUUAAAAAAAAGAUUUUUUUUUCCUUUCUUUUUUUUUUUUUCCUUUUUCCUCCCAGGAUAUUGGCUGCUCAGAAUGGUACCUGUUGCCAGUGCUGCUGAGCUUCAGAAUCAUAGAACGUAUCCACUGGCUUUUCAUCCUCUAUGUUUUUUUUUUUUUUUUUUUCGUUUUGGUUUUAUGAGUUUGACUGAUCCUGUUCUACAACUCCAGUUAAAUAAAGUACUUGGGAAGAGAACUGACAAUGGUCUCAUGAAUUGCAGUGGUUUGAAGAAGUAAAUAUGCAUGGGUCUUGGGAAUAGGACCAAGAUUUCUCACGCAUUAGGCAAUUGCCAUAACUACUGAACUGUGAGUUCAAUCUCUUGACAAUUUCUUGCCCUUUUUUUUUUUUUUUUUUUUUUUUUCCUUCUUGCUUGGCUUUUUCUUCUUCCUGUGGGGGAAAAAAGAAAACAACAACAACAACAAAAACAACCUUCAAACACUAUUCAGUUUGUCUUGAUGAGGAGUAGGAACAUUUCUCUAAGCUCAUAAAUUUUUGUGAGUUGGGAAAACACUUUCCAGGCAAACUCUGUUAGGAGUUCCUAUGCAUUUGUUAGUACAAAUAAGAAGUGUUGUGUUCUGUUGUGGCAGACCUAAGGUUUUUGGGUCAGGAAGUACAACUUGUAUCAGAGGCCAUUAUAUGUUGAACUGGGAAAACCUCUGGGAAUCCUGGAAGUUGAACUAUGCAACUGAAACUCCUACUUAACAGAACCUGUAAAGCUGUAUGUGUGUCCAUGCUGACUAACUUCAUACCUCUCUCCUCACUUAGAUGAGAUGUCCCAAUAGUCAUGAGUCCCAGUUUUAGUCCUCUGUCCCAGUGAAAAUGCUGAGUUUUACUGCUUAUGUCCUAGCAACAUGACUACUAACUCUCUGCAAACUGGUAUUUACAAUUGCUGCCCUUACUGGGCAAAGCUAGUCACGAGAGAGUAAGGAGGGUUUGAGUUGCCUAAAUCUUGAUGUGAAGAAUCCCCUUGCUCAAGUGGUCAAUGAUCAUUUUCAUUGUACAGAGCUAACACUGAGAUGUGAUACUAGUACUCUAGCUAAAAAUAGCAAAUUAUGUUGUGAUGGUUUUUGCUGAGAUAGAGUUAAUUUUCUUUGUAGAAGAGGCUCAUAUGAUGCUGUGUUUUGGAUUUUUGAUGAAGGUAAUGUUGCUAAUACACCGAUGAUUUAGCUGUUGCAGAGCAGAGCUCACACAGAGCCAGGACUGUUCUGCUCCUUGUGCUGCCCAACCAGCCAUGAGGCUUUGGGUGCAAGAGGAGCUGGGAGGGGAAACAUCCAGGACAGCCGAUCCAGGCUGACCAAAGGGAUGUCCCAUACCAUAUGGCAUCAUGCUCAGCAACAAAAUCUGGGGUAAAUAAGGAGGAAGGGGGAGGUGUUUGGAGUGAUGACAUUUGUCUUCCCAAUAAAGCUUUAUUUGUGAUGAGCCCUGCUUUUCUG
This 1769-nucleotide long non-coding RNA is filed under the name Anas platyrhynchos platyrhynchos (common mallard). Its description in RNAcentral is "lncRNA (ENSAPLG00000023917.1)". The record is from RNAcentral. Lineage: Eukaryota; Metazoa; Chordata; Aves; Anseriformes; Anatidae.